UUAUAUCUGACAGUGGAUUCUACCAAUGCAGGACAACUGACAGUGACCCAGACAGCAGAAACGUGAGAGUCGUCGUCGGGCGGAGAGGUGUUGGUGGGUCGCUUAUUAUUGCCAUAACUCGCAGCGCUUCAGUCAGCUUAGAUGGUACACUCAGGCUACAAUGCACUGUCGGAGAACUGGACUCGAGCACAAAUGUUGAGUGGCAAAAGGUAGAGAGGACACGCACGACUGUGCUAACACAAGGUACAAGGAGGAUAACCAGAGACGUCAGAGUAGGAAUUGAGAAGACUACAUCUAACAGCAAUGAUGUAUACAUCCUGACAAUCGCAGAGAUUGAGAGAGACGAUGAGGGUGACUACCGCUGCACGACCACCAAUGAUAGUCCAUCCUCCGAAGAUGUUUCUAUUACUGUG
This is a long non-coding RNA of Priapulus caudatus, 413 nucleotides long. RefSeq lists it as uncharacterized. NCBI's taxonomy places the organism in Eukaryota, Metazoa, Priapulida, Priapulimorpha, Priapulimorphida, Priapulidae. The transcript is spliced from 3 exons. The record is from RefSeq and is a predicted model, not a curated record.